AGUUUCUGAGGCGCCGGCGGUGUUCCUGGUAGCGUCAGCCUCCUGGCUUUUCCUUUUCCUGGACGCUUCAGGGCUCCGCGGCCUGCGCUAGACUGGAGGGUCCGCGUCACUCUCGCCCUCCUGCUUUCCGCGCUCUCACCCGCUCCCGCCUCCUGAGGGCACGACUUGUGGAGGAGCGCGGGCGGCGGGGCGUGAGCGAGCUGCCUCUGCCGCCAUCUUAGAGAAGGCGAGCGUGGGGUGUGCGUGGGCGCGAGUCGGCCUCCCGCGGUGCCGCCGCAGCGUGGCGCGGAGAGGCAGGGGCAUCCAGUGGUUCAAGGUUACAAUAAGCUGUGAUCGUGCCACUGCAUUCUACCUGGGAUGACAGAGUGGGACCCUGUGCCACAGAGUGAGACCCUGUCUCAAAAAAAAAAAAACUAUGUAAAUCCAAGAAAAAAAGAAAACAGCUCCUGUUGCCUUUUGCCUCUCAUCCAGAAAGGUAUCCAUUUGCCUUUCUAAUAUCUCUUCAUCCUGUCAGGCCACAAAUGGAGACGACUCACCUGUAUUGUACCUCUCCAAGUUCUGGAAAGUCGAUGGAGGGUUUACUCAGAACUUCAAUCUAUCCAGAACUGAGUUUUGUUUAUGGUGUGUGCCAGGUUCACGGGCACUUGUGAAGGUUUGUUAUACAGGGUUCAUGAUGUAUCUCUAACAAUAAGGAGCAGUAGAAAAUGGGGAAUCAAAUAAUAAUCAACUGCUACCGUAAUGCAGAUCUGAGGUAAAUAAGAGGGUCAUUAGGUCAGCAACUAAAUAGCUGCCUAGAAAUAGGAUGAGAGGGGAGGAGGCAGGUCUUGUUUACUCUGUUUAGCAUGUGGAAAAAAGAAAGAAGAAAGUACAAUAGUAAAAGGAGAGCCUGGGCAAACUGAUGUGUGCCUAUAGUCCCAGCUACUUGGGAGGUUGAGGUGGGUGGAUUGCUUGAGCCCAGGAAUUGGGGUCCAGCCUGGUCAACAUAGUGAGACCCCGUCUCUUAAAAAAAGUAAAGGGAUACAAUUAGAUUCAAGAGAAGGGUUUACAUUUCAUCACUGAUGUGGGGGGAUUAUUUUUCUCUUUCCUAUUAAACUGAACAAAGGAAAAAAAUUCUCCCCUUUCUGCUGGCAGUUAUCUAGCAGAUAACAAUUUUAUGACAAGCAGUGAAGCAAAGCUGAGACAUGGAAAGAACCUGAAUCCUUGGUGACAUGAUUGAGUUGCUGACUCAACCAGUUAUGAAGCCCAUUCAUCUCUGGACUUCUUGUUAUGUGAAUUAAGAAACGUUUUUAUUGUUUGGAAUCAAAGUCAAGGAAUACAUAUCCUGUACCCAUGAAUUUUAAGUUAUUGUCAACCCAUUCAUUAGUAAUCAUAGCCAGUCUUUUUCUUGGUCCACUGAGUUAUGUUUUCCUCUAAAUAGAGUUCUCUUUUCCCUCUUUGGCAAGGUGGCAGGUCACAGCCAGACCUACUGUACUAAAAACUCAAGCAGACUCAAUGAUAUAAUAAGAGCUAGGAUAUGGAAGCAUAUAUGCUCUGGCACAGUACAGAUUUUCUUUUUCUUUUUUCUUUUCUUUUUUUUAUUUUUAUUUUUAUUUAUUUAUUUUUUUUUUUUGAGACAGAGUCUCACCUGUUGCCCAGGCUGGAGUGCAGUGGCGUGAUCUCAGCUCACUGCAACUUCCACCUCCCAGGAUCAAGCAAUUCUCCUGCCUCAGCCUCCCAAGUAGCUGGGAUUACAGGUGCCUGCCACCAUGCCCAGCAAUUUUUUUUGUAUUUUUAGUAAAGACGGGGUUUCGCCAUGUUGGCUAGGCUGGUCUCAAACUCCUGACCUCAGGUGAUCCACCCACCUUGGCCUCCCAAAGCACAGAUUUUCCCAUAUGAAAAUAAUGUGCCUCCUAACCAGCCCCAGUAGCAUAAAAGAUACCAACUGGUGGGUCCACGUCUACCAGCCUGGAAGAUUUUAUUUCAUUUGGAGCCACACUCAUCAAUAAACUUCAGGUGUACUGCCAUAAAAAAUAUUAGGAGGUACCAGAGAGGCAUCUACUAACUUGCAUGCUUCAUCUCAUAUAAUUUUGCUGGUUUGGUAAUUUACAAAGUGAAAGUCACUUUGGACUAAAUCCAAGUUGUCAUUCUUAUCAAUAUUUGAACUUGGAACAUGUGUUCUGUUUUAGCGCUUUGCUUUUUUACUAACGAAGUUAGUGGCUGUGGGUGUGGAGGAUGGCUGCAUGAUUCUCAAGGCAGGUAUUCUUUUUGUUCUGAUAUACUUCAAAAGACACAUGGCUUAUCUUUGUACCAUAUCCAACACUGUUUUAGUCUUCAGUUUUAGGAUUGGUUAUUUUCUACCUAAAGGAAUGGGACUGAGCACAGGGAUAGAAAUAAAAGAAAUAGGAAGCAGGGAUGAGCAGUAAGAGAUGUUCCAAUGGUAUACUUCUUUAUCAGAACUAUUCUAAUAUUUUGUUAAAUAUGCUAUACCAGGAUUCAAUCCACCUAACUGGGUGAUGUAAACUGUUCCUGGGUGGAGGAAAAAAGCUGAAGUCCACAAUUCAGUGACUAGUCCUAAAACCUUUACUUCCCUCACAGAGAAUCAGACCCAUAUUUACUUCUCCCUUUCCCCCAGAAGGUAUUUCUAUCGAUCCCAAUAUGAAGAUUGCAAAGGUAAGGACCCCCACUCAGUUUGCAUCUCUUGGAAUUUGGCUAUAUUACUGAGAUUUAUUAGGAUUUUUUUUUUUUUUUUACUUACUAGUAUGCUUUCUGAGAUGUUAUAAGAUCAGGCACUAUUUCUGUUGACUUUGCCAUUCUACCGAAGAUCUUUAUAUUUUCUUAUUAUUCUAACAUUUCAAUUGAGGAGGAUAGACUUAAAGACUAAUAACCAUGACAGUUUCAGCCUCUGAUAUUUCUAGAGGCAAAUAUUUCCUUAUUACUUUGUGAGAAAAACCUUUCGUUAAUGGGUGUCUUUAAUUACAAGAAACUUAUUCCCUGUAUUGCGUUAAUAGUUGCCUUCCCAAAACUUCCCUCUGGAACAAUGCAUAAUAAAUCUACUUCAUUUUCCAGAGGACUAGAUUUAAAUGUAUAAAGAGUUAUGUAUUCUUCUUUCUGGGCAUUAUGAACAUAUCUAGUAACUUUAUGUGUUCCUUUGAAUACUUCUAGGAUUUAAAAGUUUAUAGACAUCAUCUAGAUAACUUCAUAAUCACACAAGGAGUGUUUCACCUGAAUUCAUCAAGCCUUUAAAAUCACUUCCACAGGAGAUGAAGUAACAGGACACAAUUGAACAAAUUCUUAAAAGAUAGAAUAUUCCAGGGACCAACUGGCCUUUGGUUUUCAAAAUUCAUUUUUAAAAAAAGACUGUUAAAAGAUUAAACAACAGGCACACACACACACAAUUCGAAAGAUAUGCACUAAGGUGUUAACAAUGGCAAUCUCUGGAUGGUGGUAUGUGACAUUCUUUUUUUCUUUUGUCUAUAUUUUUUAUUUUUCUACAAUGCACAUGUAUUGUUUCUCUAAGUAUCAUUAAGAAAAUUAAUAGUCAACCUGGCAAAAUAGUUUGCCCAAUCUGUAUGAGAUGUUUUUCAGACUCCCACCAUAUUUGAUGUGUUCCCAUGGUUGAACUCUUGUUCGCUAUUGUCCUCCCUGAAUUGUGAAGCCUGCUAUUUGGCAGUAUGCCUCAGAUACAAUCUUACUUACCUGAGGUAAAAUUUCUGACCUGGCCAUUUUAAAGAUUCUUAAUAAUGUUCAAUUAUAAAGGCAAUUGAAGACUACACUGCCUUUUUGGAAGUUCAAUAACAUGGUUAGCUGUUUAGAAUAUAGUCUGUUGACUAUUUAGAAUCGAUGUUAAGAACAUAGGCUCUGGAGAUCUCAGGAAUAUUGCUGAAACUUAUUUAAACCUUAAUUUUCUUAUCUGCAAAGUGAAGAAAAUACCAGAACCUAUUUCAAAGGGUUGUUGUAAAGGUUAAAUGAGAUAACACAGCAAAAUACUUGAGUAUAAUGCUUAGCUCACAGUAUAUAAAAUAAAUUUGAGCAAUUAUAAUAAUUAUUAUCGUGUUCAUAUAAAAUAUCAGAAUAAACAUUGUAUCAUUUAUACUCCCUCCAAUACCUCAAAAUUAAUUUGACUAAAAGUGUUAUAUUUAGCCAGCUUCUUGGUGAAAUAUCUUUUAAUCAAAAGAAUAGGACUAAAUAAGUAAUUUUCUUAAUCUGGUAACUAUAGAUAGCACUGUAUCUGUUUUUUAAUUCCAUAACAAAUUCUUUAAGUAACUCAUUAACAUUAAAUCUUUCGAGUGUUUAGGACCUGUGCGGUCCCAAAAAGCACCCACUUAAGUGGAAUAACCCCAAGAACAUAGGAUAAAGUUUCUGGGAUUUUCAUAGUACAUUGACAUUCCUUGAGAAUACACAACAUUUAUUGAGGUACCUGAAUAACUGAAGGCCCCGAGGAGCUAAUCAGAACCACACAAUCUACUCUGUGUAGGGUGAAUAUAUUCACUACUAGCUAGUGGAAUCAUGGUCCUCAAAUGCAGGAGGUGAUAAUAUCAGAAUUUUAUGAGAACAUCCAUUAAACUGAACACAUAGACAGUUAUCUAUCUGAGAGGUAAAGUGAUGGAGAGUAAGUUUAAAAUAUUUGAUGUCCCUCCAAACCCCCCAGUAGCCCAAGAACUGAAAAAUAGAAGCUGAAUAACUUUAUGGACCUGCCUGCUUCUGCUGUGCCACUCUGCAGCAGAACUUUAAAGCAAAAAAUUUCUUGGAGUUUUACACUGGAUAUAUUAAUGAAAUCACUAUUUUUGUUGCAUAUUAAACAAGAUUCCUUCCACUGCAAGUACAGAAACUCAAGAAAUUUAAACAAUAAUGAAGUGUAUUGACUCAACACUGAGUCUAGAAGUAGAACAGACUUCAGAGUUGGCUUAGUCUGGCAAGCACUAGCUUUCUUUCCCAAAGCUGGUUCUUAGGCUCUGUUCUCCUCUGUUGGCUUCACAAAAUGGCAGUCCCAGCUUCACUGGUGCGUAACUUCUUCCAACAGCUCUCACUUAAAGGUAAAGAAACAUUUUCCAGAAACUCUCAACAAGUUUUCCUUGACGUCACUAGCCAGUACUGUGUCUUAUUCCUCAUUCCUGAACCAAUCAUUAGCAAAGGAAUAAGAUUACUCCUAAGACACAUAGCUUCUGGUAAGGGAGCCGUGGAUGUAUAAAUGAAAAUGGGGUGCUCUUGGGAAGAGGGAAAUAAAUAUUGGGUGGGUAAUCAACAAGGCGUCAUCAAAAAACUUUCUGGGGGUUGAAUGAAGCAGGAAAAUUUUUUUUUCAGAAUAGUUUUUCAUACAAUACUUGGCUUUUAAACAGUUGAGAAAUAAAAGAAUCCACAUCUUUUCUCAUUUGAUUUCCCCCUUGCUGAAAUUACAAUAAUUUUUUUUUUUUUGAGAUGGAGUCUCUGUCACCCAGGCUGGAGUUCAGUGGCACAAUCUCAGCUCACUGCAACCUCUGCCUCCUGGGUUCAAGCGAUUCUCCUGCCUCAGCCUCCCCAGUAGCUGGGAUUACAAGCACCCGCCAUCACGCCUGGCUAAUUUUUGUAUUUUUAGUACAGAUGGGGUUUCACCAUAUUGGCCAGGUUGGUCUCAAACUCCUGACCUCAGGUGAUCCGCCCACCUUGGCCUCCCAAAAUGCUGGGAUUACAGGCGUGAGCCACUGCACCCUGCCUACAGUAAUAAUUUUGAGUGAGAAUAACAAUAUUUUGUGUAUAGACUAUCUCCAGCCAGUUUGUAGAAUUCUCAAACGGCUCUGAACACUUUCAGGUUGUUUGGAGUUUGGAAAAACCUAAGUGGUGAUUUUCCCUGAAAUUUUAGGAUGUGAAAUUUUUUUAAAGUGGAAAUGCAAUCUGUAUAUAAUAACGUAGACUUCAAAAUGUUGUUAUGUAACAGGUAUUUGAUGUUUGACAAGUUUUUGACACUCUUUAAUGAGCCAGUUUACAUCUUUAAUCUUAUAAAUAAAUUUACCAAGUACAAAUCUGAGCAAUAAGUAUGGUAAGUUCGGCAUUUUAUCUUUAAAGGGGUGGAAUGGCAUCUAAAUUCAGAAAACCACUUAAUUUUCUUAAAGUGAAAACAUAUCCACACGCCUUAGUGAUUUCAGUCUCAGUCCUUUUUCUUUGACUUUCUUUUUUUUUUAAACCAAAUUAACCACCAUUUUUUUUCUAUUAUUAGGGAUUUCUAAGUUAUUGUUUAUGGAGAAAUGACUUGAGCUCAGGAGACCUGGAUACAAGUCUUAAACUAGUGAUGAGGUCUUAGGAAAGCCAUUUUGCCUCUCCAAAUUAUAGUUUUCUUUUCAGCUUGUUAGACUCAAUGAAUCAUUUAUUCAUUCAUUUAAUGAACAUCUACUGACUGCCUAUUGCGGUUUGGAGAAUUAAAAAAUAAUAAUAAUAACACUUUGUCCUUGCUUUCAAGGAGUUCAUAGUAAAGUGACACAGGUGGUACAUAGCACAAGGAACUUUUCUGAGUUAAGUACAGCGAUGGAGAUGUGAAUGGGGUCUUUUGGAAAUAUCUAGAAGGGAUACUUAAGUCAACUUCAGGUUGGAGAUGAAUGAAGGGAAAGUUUCCCUGGAGAUCAUGAUAUUUGAGCUGAGGAUGAAUAGGCAUUAGCUAGCUAAAGGCUGGUUGGGGAGGAGUUGAAAAAAUUCACAAAGGGAAGAUAGUAUGAACAAAGGUAUGAAGACACAGCCUGGUAUAAAGGGAUAUUGUAAACAAUUCAUGUUAUUGGAGAAAAAAUUGUGAAGCAGAGAGUAGGAAAGAAGAAUGUUGGAGAGGUGUGCAGGAACCAGAAGGCUUUGUGAGACUUUUUUCCCGGUAGGUGAUAAUUCAAUAAAAGAUGUUAUUUAAGGGUCAGAGGGAAACACAUCAAGUUUUCCUGAUAUCUCAUUCUAGCCUUCUUUAAUUUGAUUUAAUUUAUCUUUAACAUUUAAAACAGUAUGAAGGAAGUGGUCUAUAAGGUUUAUCCUAUAAUAUUCUAGCUUCCCAACCUCACUACCAUGAAAUCAUUUUUAGUAUGGUGCUAGGAUAUUUAUUGAAUAUGAGCUUUUUUUUCCCUUUACUUAACUGAAUGAAAAAGAGCUGUGAAGCUUUUUUUGUUUCCAGGAAACACAAUUGUUUUGAAUUAGUAGAGUGUUUGUCGAAGGAGUUCAGCAAAGCCCCACUAUUACCCUGGAGUAUGUAACUCUCAGUAUAGUUUUCUUUCUAUUUUCAUAAGGUUAACUGUUUCUCCAUAUAAAACAAGCUUAAUAACUAGCAGGGUGAUCCUUUGCCUUUGCAUCCUCUGUUACAUAUAAAACUUUUGAUAUUAAAAAUGAUUUUUCUCCUCCAUCAUUUCCUUCUCCUCCUUCCCUUCCUCCCCCUCCUCCUUCUUUCACUUAUAAAAGUCUCCUCUUAAGAUAAAAAUUCUAGAAAUGAGAUUCAUUAAGCUAUUAUCAGAUAAUGGGAGCAUAAGUUUUCUGACCAUUAGAUGCCCAUUGAAAAGGGAAAUAUGCUUACAGUCCAAGGUCAAGUGACCAGAGGUGGCGAAGGGCCUGUAUGUCUGAGAAGAAAGGGCCAAAUAUACACUCUGCCUCUUCACUGGAGAGAGCCACUUUCAACCAACAUGGUUUUUUUCUGGUAAAGCAAGCCAAUGUUAAGAACUACAUAAUGCUUAACAAAAUAAUUGAAGGGUCUAUUAUUCAAAAGGGGAAAGACUAAAGUCACUAAAUAGAAGAACAUUUCCUCAAUAUGACUGUAGGCAAUAUUCUCUUAGAAAAUAAUGAAAUGUUUGUCUUGGUGAUAUGGUUACCUUUCUUAAGUGAAUAGGAGAAGUAUUUUGCAUCUCUCUGUGAUGGGGAAACUGACCUGAAAUUGGAGCAUUCAUAGUCAUCUUCAUCCUUGAUUAUGGGAUGAGUGUCCACAUCCCAACUCUUUCUCUUUUUCUUGAAUGGACAGAUAAGAGAUUCCGUAAGUCCUGGCAAAGAGGGGAACACAUCUCUCUCAGAACUUCCCAGGAGGGAAGGUGGAGUCACUGAGGAACUUGAAGGUUUGAUUAUGGAGGUUUGAACAAAGAGAGAGAAGGGUGAGGGCUGUUUAUAAGGUAGUGAGGGAGAAAGCAUAAGUUAGGAGCAUCUUUCUCAUGAGGCUUAAGUCCGGAAGUGCUUUCCCAGGUGCUGUAUAAAUGAAUGGUGAAGUCAAAGAGAAUUACUGUAACUUCUAUUCCUCCUCAUACCCUACAAGGCUGUCUUUGUGGAUGUGCAACCUACAUAGUUGCACAGAACACAUUAUCAGAAAGGUCCUGCACUUGGUUUAAUAUUCUACUCUUACUGUCUUGAAAUUGUUACUUUUUUCUUUGAAUUUAUAUUUUUUAAAUGAAGUGCAAUAAGAUGAUGGAGCCUGAACACAGGAUAUGGCAAUAAGCAUGUGUGCUGCCAUUUUUGCCACCCCACUCCCACAUAAUGUUCAGUAUGCCCCAUAAGCACAGAAUUUCUCUGGACCCAUGAUGGGUGGGAAUGCAGUGAGACUCAAAGCAAGUACAAGGUGAGUUUGUUACAUCUAUGUCUGACUAAGCAGAAACUGACAGCUGCAAGAGGCCAGUGUUUGAACUAGAACGUGCUUUGAAUGCAGAAAUAAGGCAAUGGUGAAGAGACAACCUAUGUAAUAGGAAAAAGUAUUUGCAAACCAUACAAUUGAUAAGGGAUUAAUAUCAAAAAUAUAUAAGGGACUCAAGAAUGCAAACAAUUCAAUAGCAAGAAAACAAAUAACCCAAUUUAAAAAUGGGCAAAGGAUCUGAAUAAACAUUUAAAAAAACCA
Long non-coding RNA from Homo sapiens (human), 8785 nucleotides. RefSeq lists it as uncharacterized. The transcript has 8 exons. NCBI's taxonomy places the organism in Eukaryota, Metazoa, Chordata, Mammalia, Primates, Hominidae. The record is from RefSeq and is a predicted model, not a curated record.